Molecule: ribosomal RNA, 450 nt
Filed under: uncultured bacterium
Lineage: Bacteria
Description: partial 16S ribosomal RNA
Rfam family: Bacterial small subunit ribosomal RNA
Source: RNAcentral
GUGGGGAAUAUUGGACAAUGGGCGAAAGCCUGAUCCAGCCAUGCCGCGUGUGUGAAGAAGGUCUUCGGAUUGUAAAGCACUUUAAGUUGGGAGGAAGGGCAGUAAGUUAAUACCUUGCUGUUUUGACGUUACCGACAGAAUAAGCACCGGCUAACUUCGUGCCAGCAGCCGCGGUAAUACGAAGGGUGCAAGCGUUAAUCGGAAUUACUGGGCGUAAAGCGCGCGUAGGUGGUUCGUUAAGUUGGAUGUGAAAGCCCCGGGCUCAACCUGGGAACUGCAUCCAAAACUGGCGAGCUAGAGUACGGUAGAGGGUGGUGGAAUUUCCUGUGUAGCGGUGAAAUGCGUAGAUAUAGGAAGGAACACCAGUGGCGAAGGCGACCACCUGGACUGAUACUGACACUGAGGUGCGAAAGCGUGGGGAGCAAACAGGAUUAGAAACCCUAGUAGUCC